AUAGUACCGUGAGGGAAAGGUGAAAAGAACCCCGGGAGGGGAGUGAAAUAGAACCUGAAACCGUAUGUCUACAAGCAGUCGAAGCACCUUAAGAGUGCGACGGCGUGCCUAUUGAAGAAUGAACCGGCGAGUUACAUUAUGUUGCGAGGUUAAGUGGGAGACACGGAGCCGAAGCGAAAGCGAGUCUUAAUAGGGCGACUAGUAACAUGGUGUAGACCCGAAACCGCAGUGAUCUAUCCAUGGUCAGGUUGAAGCGCAGGUAAAAAUGCGUGGAGGACCGAACCCGUGAGUGUUGAAAAACUUUGGGAUGAACCGUGGAUAGGGGUGAAAUGCCAAUCGAACGCGGAGAUAGCUGGUACUCCCCGAAAUAGCUUUAGGGCUAGCCUCAGGGAAGAUUAUAGACGGUAGAGCACUGAUCUGGCAAGGGGGCGUAAAGCCUACCGACCCUAGUCAAACUUCGAAUGGCUAUAAUUAAGACCCUGGGAGUCAGACUGCGAGUGAUAAGACCCGUAGUCAAGAGGGAAACAGCCCAGACCGCCGACUAAGGUCCCCAAUGCUGUACUAAGUGGAAAAGGAUGUAAGACUUCAUAAACAACCAGGAUGUUGGCUUAGAAGCAGCCACCAUUAAAAGAGUGCGUAAUAGCUCACUGGUCGAGAGGCCUUGCGCCGAAGAUGUCCGGGGCUCAAGUACAGAACCGAAGUCGCGGCAGGAUUAUAUAAUUCUGGGUAGGGGAGCGUUGUAUAUCCGACUGAAGGUGUACCGGAAGGAGCGCUGGAGGAUAUACAAGAGAGAAUGCCGGUAUGAGUAGCGAAAAGAACAGUGAGAAUCUGUUCCACCGAAAGCCUAAGGUUUCCUGAGCAACGCUCGUCGACUCAGGGUAAGUCGGGACCUAAGCCGAGGCAAAAAGCAUAGGCGAUGGACAACAGGUUAAUAUUCCUGUACCGCUUCAAAUCGUUUGAGCAAUGGAGUGACACAGAAGGUAGCUUGAGCACGCGAAUGGAUGUGCGUGUCGAAGGUGGUAGGUUGCAGUAUAGGUAAAUCCGUACUGUAUAAGACCGAGAACUGAUAGAUAGAUGAUACUUCGGUAAAGUCAAAUUCAAGUGAGCCAUGCUGUCGAGAAAAGCUUCUAGUGAGAGAUGAGGCGCCCGUACCGAAACCGACACAGGUAGGCGGGGAGAGAAUCCUAAGGUGCGCGGGACAACCCUCGUUAAGGAACUCGGCAAAUUGUAUCCGUAACUUAGGGAUAAGGAUAGCCGGAGGAUGUGAAGGGAUUUACUUCUGGAGCGUCAGCCGGUGGCACAAGAGAGGCCCAAGCGACUGUUUAGCACAAACACAGGUGCCUGCAAAAGAGAAAUCUGACGUAUAGGUGCUGACACCUGCCCGGUGCUGGAAGGUUAAGAGGAGGGCUUAGAGGAAACUCGAAGGCUUGAAUUGAAGCCCCAGUAAACGGCGGCCGUAACUAUAACGGUCCUAAGGUAGCGAAAUUCCUUGUCGGGUAAG
This 1501-nucleotide ribosomal RNA is filed under the name human gut metagenome. RNAcentral describes it as "bacterial LSU rRNA". It matches the Rfam family "Bacterial large subunit ribosomal RNA", at positions 495 to 1980 of the family's 2925-position model. The record is from RNAcentral.